CGGGAGGCAGCAGUGGGGAAUCUUAGACAAUGGGGGCAACCCUGAUCUAGCCAUGCCGCGUGAGUGAUGAAGGCCUUAGGGUCGUAAAGCUCUUUCGCCUGUGAUGAUAAUGACAGUAGCAGGUAAAGAAACCCCGGCUAACUCCGUGCCAGCAGCCGCGGUAAUACGGAGGGGGUUAGCGUUGUUCGGAAUUACUGGGCGUAAAGCGCGCGUAGGCGGAUUAGAGAGUUGGGGGUGAAAUCCCGGGGCU
Molecule: ribosomal RNA, 250 nt
Filed under: uncultured bacterium
Lineage: Bacteria
Description: partial 16S ribosomal RNA
Rfam family: Bacterial small subunit ribosomal RNA
Source: RNAcentral